AUACGGAGGAUGCAAGCGUUAUCCGGAUUUAUUGGGUUUAAAGGGUGCGUAGGCGGUUUGCUAAGCGGGAGGUGAAAUGCCGGCGCUCAACGUCCGAAGUGCCUCCCGAACUGGUGGACUUGAAUGACUCUGCCGUGGGAGGAAUGUGUAGUGUAGCGGUGAAAUGCUUAGAGAUUACACAGAACACCGAUUGCGAAGGCAUCUCACGAAGGGUUGAUUGACGCUGAGGCACGAAGGCGUGGGGAUCAAACAGGAUUAGAUACCCUGGUAGUCCACGCAGUAAACGAUGAUGGCUAACCGCUGGGCUUAUCAGUUCAGUGGCCAAGCGAAAGCGAUAAGCCAUCCACCUGGGGAGUACGACCGCAAGGUUGAAACUCAAAUGAAUUGGCGGGG
RNAcentral lists this ribosomal RNA (393 nucleotides) under uncultured bacterium. RNAcentral describes it as "partial 16S ribosomal RNA". It matches the Rfam family "Bacterial small subunit ribosomal RNA", at positions 523 to 918 of the family's 1533-position model. The record is from RNAcentral.